RNAcentral lists this unclassified non-coding RNA (376 nucleotides) under soil metagenome. RNAcentral's name for it is "partial contains 5.8S ribosomal RNA, internal transcribed spacer 2, and large subunit ribosomal RNA". The stretch from base 1 to 120 matches the Rfam family "5.8S ribosomal RNA", at positions 35 to 154 of the family's 154-position model. The record is from RNAcentral.
GAUGAAGAACGCAGCGAAAUGCGAUAAGUAAUGUGAAUUGCAGAAUUCAGUGAAUCAUCGAAUCUUUGAACGCAUCUUGCGCUCCUUGGUAUUCUGAGGAGCAUGCCUGUUUGAGUGUCAUUAAAUUCUCAACUACACUGACUUUGAAUUGGUGUGGCUUGGAUUUGGGGGGAAAAUUGUUGUGGGCUUUUUGUAUAGUCUGCUCCCCUGAAAUUGAUUAGCGGUACCUUUGUGGAACUGUCUACAGGUGUGAUAAUUAUCUACAUCUUAGACAUCUGCUGGAAUGCUGCUUUCUAAACCUUACUUGUAUUGACAAUCUUGACCUCAAAUCAGGCAGGACUACCCGCUGAACUUAAGCAUAUCAAUAAGCGGAGUA